This 465-nucleotide ribosomal RNA is filed under the name Vreelandella stevensii. RNAcentral's name for it is "partial 16S ribosomal RNA". It matches the Rfam family "Bacterial small subunit ribosomal RNA", at positions 338 to 795 of the family's 1533-position model. Lineage: Bacteria; Pseudomonadati; Pseudomonadota; Gammaproteobacteria; Oceanospirillales; Halomonadaceae. The record is from RNAcentral.
CCUACGGGGAGCUGCAGUGGGGAAUAUUGGACAAUGGGCGAAAGCCUGAUCCAGCCAUGCCGCGUGUGUGAAGAAGGCCUUCGGGUUGUAAAGCACUUUCAGUGGGGAAGAAAGCCUUGGGGCUAAUACCCUCGAGGAAGGACAUCACCCACAGAAGAAGCACCGGCUAACUCCGUGCCAGCAGCCGCGGUAAUACGGAGGGUGCGAGCGUUAAUCGGAAUUACUGGGCGUAAAGCGCGCGUAGGCGGUCUGAUAAGCCAGUUGUGAAAGCCCCGGGCUCAACCUGGGAACGGCAUCCGGAACUGUCAGGCUAGAGUGCAGGAGAGGAAGGUAGAAUUCCCGGUGUAGCGGUGAAAUGCGUAGAGAUCGGGAGGAAUACCAGUGGCGAAGGCGGCCUUCUGGACUGACACUGACGCUGAGGUGCGAAAGCGUGGGUAGCAAACAGGAUUAGAUACCCGGGUAGUC